AUGCAAUGAUCUCAAGGAUCGAAUAUACAAUACUGCUUGAAUAAGAGUUGACAGUACAAAAAAAUGGAAAGACUCCAAAGGGCUGCGAUGACCAAGCAGCUCUACCUUGAAUCCUUGCGAUCAACACACUAACUCUGCCCGACUUUGGUAUCUCCAAUACCUGGCACUGCUAAAAAAUGUGCAGAAGUGUAGUAUGAGUACACCAUAAUCGGUACCCAAUAAGUGUCAAGGCUAACCUCUGUGGAAUAGUGACAAGGUACAAUCAAGACACUCACUAGUCAAAUAACCUGUGCAAAAUAGUAAUAUAUAAUAGUACUAGAAAAUAACUAGCAGUGAUAGCAACAAAAAUCAACCAGUGAUAUAAAUAGCAAGGCAACAAGAACACCAUAAUUAUUGCUCAAACGAAUAAGGAACACAAGUACAACCAAUUAAACAAGUCCUUCAUAUAUAAAUCUUUCACAUAUAAUUCUUUCGAAUAAAUACCUUCCGAAUACAUUUCUUUCAAAUAAAUAUCUUUCGAAUAUAAAAUUCUUUCAAGUACAUAUCUUUCGAAUAUAAAAUUCUUUCAAGUAAAUAUCUUUCAAAUAAAAGUCACUCUAUGACACCUCAUUUCAUUAUCAUAAGACACGGGUCUCAGCCCACUUUCAUAUUGUCGUAACACGGGUCUCAGCCCACUUUCAUAUUUCAAUGGCACCUUGCGCCCAUAUUUCUAUCAAAACCGCACGGACAACUCACGUGCCAAUAAUAAAAAUCAUCAUAUUUUCCUAGCACCUCGUACUUAUAUUUCUUUCAUAACCGCACGGGCAACUCACGUGCCAAUAAUAUAAUCAUUAUAUUUCCCCGGCACCUCGUGCCCAUAUUUCAUAUCACAUCUACACGGACAGUUCACGUGCCAAUAACAUUAUCUGCCUAGCAAUAGCCACAGGCUCACAAUUUCAACAUAAAUCAGACUAUUAUGAAGUUUACCGAAACAACAAGACAAGUUGCACAAGAUAUAAAAUAAGCACAAGGAAAAUCACAAUAUCACAUCAAUAUUUCAAACGCAAUAACCCCAUAUCAUCACAUAAAAAUUACAAACACAAUAACCCCACCUUAUCACAUAUCAUCCCUUAUAGUAGCCACCCUUAUCACUCCUAUAAUAGCCUCCUUUAUCCCUCCGUCCUGACAAUAUCAAUAGUCAUUCUUAUCACUCUAAUAACCCCCCUUAUCGCUCCUAUAAUAGACCCCCNNNNNNNNNNNNNNNNNNNNNNNNNNNNNNNNNNNNNNNNNNNNNNNNNNNNNNNNNNNNNNNNNNNNNNNNNNNNNNNNNNNNNNNNNNNNNNNNNNUCACAAUAUCACAUCAAUAUUUCAAACGCAAUAACCCCAUAUCAUCACNUAAAAAUUACAAACACAAUAACCCCACCUUAUCACAUAUCAUCCCUUAUAGUAGCCACCCUUAUCACUCCUAUAAUAGCCUCCUUUAUCCCUCCGUCCUGACAAUAUCAAUAGUCAUUCUUAUCACUCUAAUAACCCCCCUUAUCGCUCCUAUAAUAGACCCCCUUAUCGCUCCAUUAAAUAGCCUCCCUUAUCACCCCACCCAGACAAUAUCCCAACACACAUAACAAUAGUGAAAUGCCACCCUUAUGCCUGCAUAAUGUCAACAAUGGAAUGCCACCCUUAUAGCCACAUAACAUUAACCCAAAUUACACAAUAAUUUACACAGAAUAUUAUCACAACAGCACAACAUCAUCAACUCAUAUUUACAAAUUCCCCGAAGGCCACAACCAUUCCAAGGGUACAAUAAAGUCAAUUAAUUUCACAACACAUAGUCCACGUCUCAACACAAUGUAUAUAAAAUCUCAAAAACAAACACAAGGAUAGGAAAAUAACUCAUCACACGACAAAGCCUUCUUUAAUCCAAUUUUUUGAUAAAUAUAUAAACGCCUCAAUUUAAACUAAUUUAAUUAAUUAUUUGUAGAUGAAAAAUCCAUAAUGUGAUUAUUUCCAAGAAAUAUCAAAUCAACAACACACAGAAUUCACAUAAAAAUCCAAGUGACAAUAACACCAAAAUAUCAUAUAAAAUACAAAUUUGACAAACAAAGAAUGAGGCAUGACAAAUCAAGGAUUUACUAAGUUCCAACAAUUUUUCAAUUUAAUAUACAAGGGCGUCUACGAAUUUCAACCGAUAUAAUUUGCACAUAAGGUUAGGCAAGAUACUUUCCUCGACGAAACUAAACCGAUACUUCAAAUGAUCUUCGUAAGUGAAACCACCUCUGGACGGCUCAAAUCAGAAAUUCGCCUCUUAAUAAUACUACGAUGGUCCACCACACUAAAGCACGUUUAAUCUACAACAAUGCAACACAAUUGCACCAAUAUUAGCAAGAUUUCUAUUCUUUAAGUCAUUUAUACAUUUUAUCAAACAUCUAAUGUGCAUAUUUUUCCAUAACUUCCCGUAGCACAUGCAUGCCCAACAAUUCACUCCCAACCCACAAAUCUUAUCAAUUAAUUCAUUUUACAAUCUCUACAAUACCAACACACCUAGGUUGGGAAUUUAUUGGUUCCAAUCACCAUCCUAUAAGUCCUAACACAUAUUUCAUACAUAAAUAAUCAACAUGAAUUAGUUAGAGAAUGGUAGACUUACCUCUUGUAGACCAAAUCUUGAAAGACAACUAUAGGGGUGUUCUUGAGAUUUUG
Molecule: long non-coding RNA, 2673 nt
Filed under: Nicotiana tabacum (common tobacco)
Lineage: Eukaryota; Viridiplantae; Streptophyta; Magnoliopsida; Solanales; Solanaceae
Description: long non-coding RNA (NTAB_LNC017327)
Source: RNAcentral